This is a non-coding RNA of Penaeus vannamei (Pacific white shrimp), 409 nucleotides long. The record is from RefSeq and is a predicted model, not a curated record. NCBI's taxonomy places the organism in Eukaryota, Metazoa, Arthropoda, Malacostraca, Decapoda, Penaeidae.
GUUCAUUAGAUUUUUUUUAGCGAUUAUCAAAGGGAUGUAGGUUAAAGGGGACGACGCACAGAGAUAGAAGGAAAUGGACAAUGCUAUCUUAUUGAUCGUAAGAAGUAGGAUAAGAAAGAACAUAGUUUAAGCUGCAGCGGCUUCAUAUUUACCGAAAGAAUAUAAAGUCAAGAGAACUCGGAAGGGAGGCCAUUUUAAGGUCUGACAAGGAUACAAUAAAAGAGUAAUUAUAAUGCAGGUUUGCCGAGUCCAGUGGAAGAACUCAAAAACUCUCUCAGUGUUGGCUCUCGUACUACUUUUAGCUAUAGUGACAUGUUCAAACUACAUCACGUCUCCUGAGUUUUGGAAAAAGAGAACCAUGUCCCCGCAAUUUUAGUGUUUGUGUAAUGGUUCCCCUCAAGCAAACCCA